This 84-nucleotide transfer RNA is filed under the name Mollicutes bacterium. RNAcentral describes it as "tRNA-Tyr". It matches the Rfam family "tRNA". Rfam says of the family: Transfer RNA (tRNA) molecules are approximately 80 nucleotides in length. Their secondary structure includes four short double-helical elements and three loops (D, anti-codon, and T loops). Further hydrogen bonds mediate the characteristic L-shaped molecular structure. tRNAs have two regions of fundamental functional importance: the anti-codon, which is responsible for specific mRNA codon recognition, and the 3' end, to which the tRNAs corresponding amino acid is attached (by aminoacyl-tRNA synthetases). tRNAs cope with the degeneracy of the genetic code in two manners: having more than one tRNA (with a specific anti-codon) for a particular amino acid; and 'wobble' base-pairing, i.e. permitting non-standard base-pairing at the 3rd anti-codon position. RNAcentral also lists the same sequence under 8 other names. Lineage: Bacteria; Bacillati; Mycoplasmatota; Mollicutes. The record is from RNAcentral.
GGGCGAAUAGCGAAGUGGCCAAACGCGGCUGACUGUAAAUCAGCUCCUUCGGGUUCGGUGGUUCAAAUCCAUCUUCGCCCACCA